RNAcentral lists this ribosomal RNA (496 nucleotides) under uncultured bacterium. RNAcentral describes it as "partial 16S ribosomal RNA". It matches the Rfam family "Bacterial small subunit ribosomal RNA", at positions 29 to 507 of the family's 1533-position model. The record is from RNAcentral.
AUGAACGCUGGCGGCGUGCCUAAUACAUGCAAGUCGAGCGAACAGAUGAGGAGCUUGCUCCUCUGACGUUAGCGGCGGACGGGUGAGUAACACGUGGAUAACCUACCUAUAAGACUGGGAUAACUUCGGGAAACCGGAGCUAAUACCGGAUAAUAUAUUGAACCGCAUGGUUCAAUAGUGAAAGACGGUUUUGCUGUCACCUAUAGAUGGAUCCGCGCCGCAUUAGCUAGUUGGUAAGGUAACGGCUUACCAAGGCAACGAUGCGUAGCCGACCUGAGAGGGUGAUCGGCCACACUGGAACUGAGACACGGUCCAGACUCCUACGGGAGGCAGCAGUAGGGAAUCUUCCGCAAUAGGCGAAAGCCUGACGGAGCAACGCCGCGUGAGUGAUGAAGGUCUUCGGAUCGUAAAACUCUGUUAUUAGGGAAGAACAAAUGUGUAAGUAACUAUGCACGUCUUGACGGUACCUAAUCAGAAAGCCACGGCUAACUACGUG